GAUGAAGAACGUAGCGAAAUGCGAUACUUGGUGUGAAUUGCAGAAUCCCGUGAACCAUCGAGUCUUUGAACGCAAGUUGCGCCCGAAGCCACUAGGCCGAGGGCACGCCUGCCUGGGCGUCACACGCCGUUGCCCCCCCAUCUACUCCUUCGGGAUUGCGGGGGGGCGGAUGAUGGCCUCCCGUGCGCCUAGCCGCGCGGUUGGCAUAAAUACCAAGUCCUCGGCGACGCACGCCACGACAAUCGGUGGUUACGAAACCUCGGUUGCCCGUCGUGUGCGUUCGUCGCGCAUCGAGGGCUCGAAAAAAUGCUCGGCUCCGGCUGGGCUUUCAACGCGACCCCAGGUCAGGCGGGGUUACCCGCUGAAUUUAAGCAUAUCAAUAAGCGGAGGA
RNAcentral lists this unclassified non-coding RNA (391 nucleotides) under soil metagenome. Its description in RNAcentral is "partial contains 5.8S ribosomal RNA, internal transcribed spacer 2, and large subunit ribosomal RNA". The stretch from base 1 to 122 matches the Rfam family "5.8S ribosomal RNA", at positions 35 to 154 of the family's 154-position model. The record is from RNAcentral.